This 447-nucleotide ribosomal RNA is filed under the name uncultured bacterium. RNAcentral's name for it is "bacterial SSU rRNA". It matches the Rfam family "Bacterial small subunit ribosomal RNA", at positions 355 to 825 of the family's 1533-position model. The record is from RNAcentral.
UCGGGAAUUUUGGGCAAUGGGCGAAAGCCUGACCCAGCAACGCCGCGUGAAGGAUGAAGUAUUUCGGUAUGUAAACUUCGAAAGAAUAGGAAGAAUAAAUGACGGUACUAUUUAUAAGGUCCGGCUAACUACGUGCCAGCAGCCGCGGUAAUACGUAGGGACCAAGCGUUGUUCGGAUUUACUGGGCGUAAAGGGCGCGUAGGCGGCAAUUCAAGUCAUCUGUGAAAUCUCCGGGCUUAACUCGGAACGGUCAGAUGAUACUGCUUUGCUAGAGUGCAGAAGGGGCAAUCGGAAUUCUUGGUGUAGCGGUGAAAUGCGUAGAUAUCAAGAGGAACACCUGAGGUGAAGACGGGUUGCUGGGCUGACACUGACGCUGAGGCGCGAAAGCCAGGGGAGCAAACAGGAUUAGAUACCCACGUAGUCCCUGAGCGGGCUGGCAAGGCGCAU